AUUGAACGCUGGCGGCAUGCCUUACACAUGCAAGUCGAACGGCAGCACGGACUUCGGUCUGGUGGCGAGUGGCGAACGGGUGAGUAAUAUAUCGGAACAUACCCUAGAGUGGGGGAUAACGUAGCGAAAGUUACGCUAAUACCGCAUACGCACUAAGGUGGAAAGUGGGGGAUCGCAAGACCUCAUGCUCAUGGAGUGGCCGAUAUCUGAUUAGCUAGUUGGUGAGGUAAAGGCUCACCAAGGCGACGAUCAGUAGCUGGUUUGAGAGAACGACCAGCCACACUGGAACUGAGACACGGUCCAGACUCCUACGGGAGGCAGCAGUGGGGAAUUUUGGACAAUGGCGCAAGCCUGAUCCAGCAAUGCCGCGUGAGUGAAGAAGGCCUCGGUUGUAAGCUCUUUGUUCUAGGGAGAAACGGUAGGUGGUUAAGUAACCUGCUGCUAAUGACGGUACCUGAAGAAUAAGCACCGGCUAACUACGUAGCCACG
Molecule: ribosomal RNA, 489 nt
Filed under: uncultured bacterium
Lineage: Bacteria
Description: bacterial SSU rRNA
Rfam family: Bacterial small subunit ribosomal RNA
Source: RNAcentral